AUUGAACGCUGGCGGAAUGCUUUACACAUGCAAGUCGAACGGCAGCACGGGGGCAACCCUGGUGGCGAGUGGCGAACGGGUGAGUAAUACAUCGGAACGUGCCCGGUCGUGGGGGAUAACGUAGCGAAAGUUACGCUAAUACCGCAUACGAUCUGAGGAUGAAAGCGGGGGACCUUCGGCCUCGCGCGAUCGGAGCGGCCGAUGUCAGAUUAGGUAGUUGGUGGGGUAAAGGCCUACCAAGCCGACGAUCUGUAGCUGGUCUGAGAGGACGACCAGCCACACUGGGACUGAGACACGGCCCAGACUCCUACGGGAGGCAGCAGUGGGGAAUUUUGGACAAUGGGCGCAAGCCUGAUCCAGCCAUUCCGCGUGCAGGACGAAGGCCUUCGGGUUGUAAACUGCUUUUGUAUGGAACGAAAAGGCUCUGGCUAAUACCUGGGGCUCAUGACGGUACCGUAAGAAUAAGCACCGGCUAACUACGUG
RNAcentral lists this ribosomal RNA (483 nucleotides) under uncultured bacterium. RNAcentral's name for it is "partial 16S ribosomal RNA". It matches the Rfam family "Bacterial small subunit ribosomal RNA", at positions 30 to 507 of the family's 1533-position model. The record is from RNAcentral.